UAAAUUGAGAGUACUAACGUUUGGGAGAAGUUGCACAAAAGGGACUCAAGUUUCAGAAAUUGCACAUAGGGUACUCAACUCAAACUUUACCUUCUACAACAGGUUAACCCAACUUUAAAAAAAAAAAAGAAAAAGAAAAUUCUGACAUAAAGUCAGAAGGUACUAACGGUUGUAAUUGUUUUAUUUUUUGAGCAAUUAAAAUAUUGCCGUUUGAACUCCAAGAAUAACAGACUUCUAUUUAAAUUCCUCUCCACAGACAUCUUCAUCAAUUUUCAUUUUCUGCAAAAAAAAAAAAAAAAAAAAAAAAAAAAUCAGAACAAACUAUUUCAUAAAAUUACAGGAAAAAUUAUAAAUUUUUAGAAAGAACUUGUAACAUGUCAAGGAUUGGGAAGGUGUUAGUUGAAGGAGAGCAAACUGUCUACUCCUUCAGCCAAGACCAGUACCCUAUGUCAAGCCAGCAGCAGAGCCAAGACAGCAACAGCAUUACAAGUCAAGCAUUGCAGGAUUUAGCAAAGAAAAAGAGAAACAGCAAGAACUAGCAGCACAAGAAAAUGAAAAUUGAUGAAGAUGGUUGUGGAGAGGAAUUUAAAUAGAAUUCUGUUAUUCUUGGAGUUCAAAUGACAAUAUUUUAAUUGCUCAAAAAAUAAAACAAUUACAAACGUUAGUACCUUCUGACUUUAUGUCAGAAUUUUCUUUUUCCUUUUUUUUAAAGUUGGGUUAACCUGUUGUAGAAGGUAAAGUUUCAGUUGAGUACUCUAUCUGCAAUUUGUGAAACUUGAGUCCCUUAUCUGCAACUUGUCCCAAACAUUAGUACUCUCAAUUUAUAAUAAAUUUGCUGCCCUGUUUACUGAUUUGAUGAAA
Long non-coding RNA from Chenopodium quinoa (quinoa), 861 nucleotides. RefSeq lists it as uncharacterized. The transcript has 3 exons. Lineage: Eukaryota; Viridiplantae; Streptophyta; Magnoliopsida; Caryophyllales; Amaranthaceae. The record is from RefSeq and is a predicted model, not a curated record.